UACGGAGGGUGCAAGCGUUAUCCGGAUUCACUGGGUUUAAAGGGUGCGUAGGUGGGCAGGUAAGUCAGUGGUGAAAUCUCCGGGCUCAACUCGGAAACUGCCAUUGAUACUAUCUGUCUUGAAUACCGUGGAGGUUAGCGGAAUAUGUCAUGUAGCGGUGAAAUGCUUAGAUAUGACAUAGAACACCAAUUGCGAAGGCAGCUGGCUACACGAAUAUUGACUCUGAGGCACGAAAGCGUGGGGAUCAAACAGGA
RNAcentral lists this ribosomal RNA (254 nucleotides) under uncultured bacterium. RNAcentral describes it as "partial 16S ribosomal RNA". It matches the Rfam family "Bacterial small subunit ribosomal RNA", at positions 524 to 777 of the family's 1533-position model. The record is from RNAcentral.